RNAcentral lists this microRNA (21 nucleotides) under Heligmosomoides polygyrus. RNAcentral describes it as "hpo-miR-59-5p". Its record names the gene hpo-miR-59-5p. Lineage: Eukaryota; Metazoa; Nematoda; Chromadorea; Rhabditida; Heligmosomidae. The record is from miRBase by way of RNAcentral.
UCGUCAAGAGGUCGAUACGGA